This 26-nucleotide small nuclear RNA is filed under the name Arabidopsis thaliana (thale cress). RNAcentral's name for it is "snRNA_09784". The record is from RNAcentral. Lineage: Eukaryota; Viridiplantae; Streptophyta; Magnoliopsida; Brassicales; Brassicaceae.
CGGGCUAGAAGCGACGCAUGCGCCCG